AGCAGCCGCGGUAAUUCCAGCUCCAAUAGCGUAUAUUAAAGUUGUUGCAGUUAAAAAGCUCGUAGUUGAAUUUCGGGAUCAAUAUGUUGGUCGUGCCUCGGUACGUACUAGCAUAUUGGUUUCUCCUUUCUGAAGAACCAUGAUGUCAUUUAUUUGGUGUCGUGGGGAAUCAGGACUGUUACUUUGAAAAAAUUAGAGUGUUUAAAGCAGGCUCACGCUUGAAUACACUAGCAUGGAAUAAUGAAAUAGGACGUUUGAUUCUAUUUUGUUGGUUUCUAGGAUCGACGUAAUGAUUAAUAGGGAUAGUUGGGGGCAUUAGUAUUCAAUUGUCAGAGGUGAAAUUCUUGGAUUUAUUGAAGACUAACUACUGCGAAAGCAUUUGCCAAGGAUGUUUUCAUUAAUCAAGAACGAAAGUUAGGGGAUCGAAGACGAUCAGAUACCGUCGUAGUCUUAACCAUAAACUAUGCCGACUAGGGAUCGGAUGAUGUUAAAUUUUUUAA
RNAcentral lists this unclassified non-coding RNA (500 nucleotides) under uncultured Glomus. RNAcentral describes it as "SSU rRNA". It matches the Rfam family "Eukaryotic small subunit ribosomal RNA", at positions 569 to 1074 of the family's 1831-position model. Lineage: Eukaryota; Fungi; Glomeromycota; Glomeromycetes; Glomerales; Glomeraceae. The record is from RNAcentral.